RNAcentral lists this unclassified non-coding RNA (181 nucleotides) under soil metagenome. RNAcentral's name for it is "partial contains 5.8S ribosomal RNA, internal transcribed spacer 2, and large subunit ribosomal RNA". The record is from RNAcentral.
AAGACUAUAGACCUGCGGAGUACCUGCGGAGGGAUCAUUACUGAAUGGCCUUUUUGGCCUAUCACCUUUCAAACCUGUGGAAGCAACACGUGCUUCGGUGCCCCUGGGCGCCGCUUUUAUGCUGUAAUCAGUCUUGUGUCUGAAUCUGAAUAAGAAUCAAAACUUUUAGCAACGGAUCUCU